GAGUUUGAUCCUGGCUCAGGAUGAACGCUAGCGGCAGGCCUAACACAUGCAAGUCGAGGGGUAACAGGAAAGCUUGCUUUCGCUGACGACCGGCGCACGGGUGCGUAACGCGUAUGCAACCUACCUCAUACUGGAGGAUAGCCCCUGGAAACGGGGAUUAAUACUCCAUAGUAUCACGAAUUCGCAUGUUUUUGUGAUUAAAGUUUUUCGGUAUGAGAUGGGCAUGCGUCCCAUUAGCUUGUUGGUGAGGUAACGGCUCACCAAGGCAACGAUGGGUAGGGGGCCUGAGAGGGUGGUCCCCCACACUGGUACUGAGACACGGACCAGACUCCUACGGGAGGCAGCAGUGAGGAAUAUUGGUCAAUGGAGGCAACUCUGAACCAGCCAUGCCGCGUGAAGGAUGACGGCCCUAUGGGUUGUAAACUUCUUUUAUAGAGGAAGAAACUUGUCUACGUGUAGACAACUGACGGUACUCUACGAAUAAGGAUCGGCUAACUCCGUGCCAGCAGCCGCGGUAAUACGGAGGAUCCAAGCGUUAUCCGGAUUCAUUGGGUUUAAAGGGUCCGUAGGCGGGUCUUUAAGUCAGUGGUGAAAGCCGACAGCUCAACUGUCGAACUGCCAUUGAUACUGGAGACCUUGAGUACAAAUGAAGUAGGCGGAAUGAGUCAUGUAGCGGUGAAAU
This 682-nucleotide ribosomal RNA is filed under the name uncultured bacterium. RNAcentral's name for it is "bacterial SSU rRNA". It matches the Rfam family "Bacterial small subunit ribosomal RNA", at positions 9 to 687 of the family's 1533-position model. The record is from RNAcentral.